RNAcentral lists this long non-coding RNA (532 nucleotides) under Mus spicilegus (steppe mouse). Its description in RNAcentral is "lncRNA (ENSMSIG00000003635.1)". The record is from RNAcentral. Lineage: Eukaryota; Metazoa; Chordata; Mammalia; Rodentia; Muridae.
AUUUUUGACAAUUCUAUGCACAGUAAAGUAGUUAUGAGGUGAAGAACCAGGCCAAGCUCUUCUAGGAAGAAAAAUGAAUAGAGAGCUUUCCCCACCUGAAGUCAAGGAGCUGUUACAGCACAGAGAGGAGAUAAUCUAGGAGGAUGUAAACAUCCAUGACCACUUUGGAAGAUAAAAAUGGAGGGCUUCCAGGAAAUGCAUGACUUUGCUGGACCACACACAGUGAACCACAGGUUGAAGAGCAAAGGAGCCAAGCAAUCAUGGACUAAAACCUCAGCAACUGUUGUCUCCCUGAUGUGCUACAGUGAUAGCAAAAUGACUACGACAGAAUAGUUGGAAGCUCAUGAGAGGAAUCUAUCAGCCAGAGAAAUCUCAAAAUUGUGCCAUGUAGAACUCUCUGCAUCUGUUGUGCCUCGUGCAUCUGAAGGACUGACCUGAGGCCAUAAUUUGGGCAUUGUACACGUGGAAUGCUUUAAUGUACCACAGAAAUAUGUCAUAGUUUAAAAUAUAAGCUACUGUGACAUGCCUAAAC